GACGAACGCUGGCGGCGUGCUUAACACAUGCAAGUCGAACGGUAAGGCUCCAGCUUGCUGGGGUACACGAGUGGCGAACGGGUGAGUAACACGUGGGUGACCUGCCCUGCACUUCGGGAUAAGCCUGGGAAACUGGGUCUAAUACCGGAUAGGACCGCACCGUGAGGGUGUGGUGGAAAGUUUUUUCGGUGUGGGAUGGGCCCGCGGCCUAUCAGCUUGUUGGUGGGGUAAUGGCCUACCAAGGCGGCGACGGGUAGCCGGCCUGAGAGGGUGGACGGCCACAUUGGGACUGAGACACGGCCCAGACUCCUACGGGAGGCAGCAGUGGGGAAUAUUGCACAAUGGGCGGAAGCCUGAUGCAGCGACGCCGCGUGGGGGAUGACGGCCUUCGGGUUGUAAACUCCUUUCACCAUCGACGAAGGGUUUCUGACGGUAGAUGGAGAAGAAGCACCGGCUAACUACGUGCCAGCAGCCGCGGUAAUACGUAGGGUGCGAGCGUUGUCCGGAAUUACUGGGCGUAAAGAGCUCGUAGGUGGUUUGUCGCGUCGUCUGUGAAAUUCCGGGGCUUAACUCCGGGCGUGCAGGCGAUACGGGCAUAACUUGAGUACUGUAGGGGAGACUGGAGUUCCUGGUGUAGCGGUGAAAUGCGCAGAUAUCAGGAGGAACACCGGUGGCGAAGGCGGGUCUCUGGGCAGUAACUGACGCUGAGGAGCGAAAGCAUGGGGAGCGAACAGGAUUAGAUACCCUGGUAGUCCAUGCCGUAAACGGUGGGCGCUAGGUGUGGGUUUCCUUCCACGGGAUCCGUGCCGCAGCUAACGCAUUAAGCGCCCCGCCUGGGGAGUACGGCCGCAAGGCUAAAACUCAAAGGAAUUGACGGGGGCCCGCACAAGCGGCGGAGCAUGUGGAUUAAUUCGAUGCAACGCGAAGAACCUUACCUGGGCUUGACAUAUACAGGAUCGCGCCAGAGAUGGUGUUUCCCUUGUGGCUUGUAUACAGGUGGUGCAUGGUUGUCGUCAGCUCGUGUCGUGAGAUGUUGGGUUAAGUCCCGCAACGAGCGCAACCCUUGUCUUAUGUUGCCAGCACGUUGUGGUGGGGACUCGUAAGAAACUGCCGGGGUUAACUCGGAGGAAGGUGGGGAUGACGUCAAAUCAUCAUGCCCCUUAUGUCCAGGGCUUCACACAUGCUACAAUGGUCGGUACAGUGGGUUGCCAGUCCGUGAGGGCGAGCUAAUCCCGCAAAGCCGGUCUCAGUUCGGAUCGGGGUCUGCAACUCGACCCCGUGAAGUCGGAGUCGCUAGUAAUCGCAGAUCAGCAACGCUGCGGUGAAUACGUUCCCGGGCCU
Molecule: ribosomal RNA, 1341 nt
Filed under: uncultured bacterium
Lineage: Bacteria
Description: 16S ribosomal RNA
Rfam family: Bacterial small subunit ribosomal RNA
Source: RNAcentral